GGAUAUGAGGGAAAACUGGCUGUGACAUCUGUCAACACACUGAUUUCCAGGGUUGAUACAGAUGGUCUGAGCUGAUCCCCAGUCUCCCUUACCACCCCAGUGAUGUCCCUUCCAGAGCCAUGUGCUCAUCCAAAGUGAAUGACCUUCUGAAAGAGAACCAGUCAUGAAGGGUAUUUAAAAGGUAUAUUUCAUUGCUAUAGUUUUUAGAUCAGCUCAGAAUUUAUUUAAAGAUAGAUAAAUCUUUAGAACAAGUACACAAAUGGGGUGAUUCCUUUUUCU
Molecule: unclassified non-coding RNA, 279 nt
Organism: Ictidomys tridecemlineatus (thirteen-lined ground squirrel)
Lineage: Eukaryota; Metazoa; Chordata; Mammalia; Rodentia; Sciuridae
Gene: 7SK
Rfam family: 7SK RNA
About the family: 7SK was discovered as an abundant small nuclear RNA in the mid-70s but a possible function has only recently been suggested. Two independent studies have found that 7SK RNA binds the CDK9/cyclin T complex (known as elongation factor P-TEFb).
Source: Ensembl